Gossypium raimondii (Peruvian cotton) is the source of this 1290-nucleotide RNA transcript. RefSeq lists it as uncharacterized. The record is from RefSeq and is a predicted model, not a curated record. The transcript is spliced from 7 exons. Lineage: Eukaryota; Viridiplantae; Streptophyta; Magnoliopsida; Malvales; Malvaceae.
CUACAUCGUUUACCCUCCCUGUUUUACCCUCCCAAUUGGCUUCCCAUUUCGUCGCCUCUUCCUUCGUUCUACCUUCGUUCUACCUUCGCCUCCCGAUUGGCUUCCCCAUUCCUUCGCCUCUUCCUCUGUCUCUCAACCUUUUCUUUUCUUUUUCUUUACAACCAGUCACUCUUUCGAUUUGCCAACCAGUCGAACUUUUUCUUUUCUUUUUCUCUGUGUCACUCCUUCCAUUGCUCUCAAUUGGUGUUACUGCUACUUAAAGAAUUUGCCCUUGAGUUCCAAAGGAAUAUCAUCAAUGGCCAUGAAUGUCAGAAGUGCCUGUUUCUCAGUUUUGAGUUGCAAGAAACCCAACCGAAUAAGAGCGGUUGCUUCCGAGGAUUUUGCCACUACCGCUGCUCUCAAAACAGAUACAGAAGACAAAUUGAAGUUAGGAGGAUCGGAGCUCAAAGUGACAAGGCUCGGAAUCGGAGCAUGGUCUUGGGGUGACACCAGUUACUGGAACAACUUUCAAUGGGAUGAUCAGAAAUUGAAGGCUGCUAAGGCUGCUUUCAAUGGAAGUCUUGAUUGCGGAAUUACGUUUUUCGAUACAACUGAAGUUUAUGGCUCUCCGCUCGCCUUAGGUGCUGAAAAUUCUGAAACUCUACUGGGAAGGUGCCCUUACCGGGAAAUAUAAACCAGAAAAUCCGCCAUCUGGACCUAGAGGCCGGAUUUACACUCCGGAGUUUUUAACUAAGCUCCAACCUCUCCUUAUCAGAAUUAAGGAAAUAGGAGGGAACUAUGGGAAAACUCCAACACAGGUGGUGCUCAACUGGUUAAUAGCACAGGAGAAUGUUGUGCCAAUCCCAGGAGCCAAAAAUGCUGCACAAGCUAAGGAAUUUGUAGGUGCCCUUGGCUGGAGACUAAGCAACGAAGAAGUGGAUGAGCUACGGUCACUGGCAUCGGAGAUAAGUCCUGUUACCGGUUUUCCUGUGGAGAAGCUGUAAUUCUUUUUGCUUCGAUUCAGGUUGACUUAAUUCUUGAAUGUUAAACAUAGAAUGAAUAACUCAUAUUCUAGUAUUGGUUCCUUUGAGCCUCAUUGUUUGGGUGUUCAUUCUGAUGCCCAAUUUAUAGGAUCAGAUAAUGGGAAUUGUCUACUAGUGGUGUGUGGGGCAAUGAUUUCUACAAAAAAAAAAAAAGAAGAGAGUAAUGGUUCCUCUUUCUCUCCCCACCCUGUUUGUAAUAGUACCAUGUAAUGUAUGUAUAUCUUUGUGGUAGUCCAGUCAAAGAAAUUCAAUCCUAGAAGCCUUACCA